Molecule: long non-coding RNA, 393 nt
Filed under: Hordeum vulgare
Lineage: Eukaryota; Viridiplantae; Streptophyta; Magnoliopsida; Poales; Poaceae
Description: long non-coding RNA (HVUL_LNC012527)
Source: RNAcentral
UAAGAUUCAUAGAUAAUCUGACCAUAAAUCCACAAUUGAUCGGAUCUCGACAAACACACCGCAAAAGAAGAUUACAUCGGAUAGAUCUCCAUGAAGAUCAUGGAGAACUUUGUAUUGAAGAUCCAAGAGAGAGAAGAAGCCAUCUAGUUACUAGUUAUGGACCCCUAGGUCUAUGGUGAACUACUCACACAUCAUUGGAGAGGUCAUGGUGUUGAUGGAGAAGCCCUUUGUGUCCGAAUCCCCCUUCGGCAGGGCACCAGGACGUACCCCAGGUAGGAUCUUGCGGAGACAGAAGCUUGCGGCGGCGGAAAAGCGAUUGCGAUGAUCUCUUGAUUUUUUCUGGAAUUUAUGGGUUUAUAUAGGCGAAAGAUCUAGGUCACGAGACCUCCACGG